Molecule: small nuclear RNA, 107 nt
Filed under: Echinops telfairi (small Madagascar hedgehog)
Lineage: Eukaryota; Metazoa; Chordata; Mammalia; Afrosoricida; Tenrecidae
Source: RNAcentral
GUGCUUGCUUCAGCAGCACAUAUACUAAAACUGGAACGAUACAGAGAAGAUUAGCAUGGCCCCUGUGCAAGGAUGACACGCAAAUUCGAGAAGCGUUCCAUAAUUAA